UACAGAGGGUGCAAGCGUUAAUCGGAAUUACUGGGCGUAAAGCGUGCGUAGUCGGUUAUCUAAGUCGGAUGUGAAAUCCCCGGGCUCAACCUGGGAAUUGCAUUCGAUACUGGAUAGCUAGAGUUCGGCAGAGGGAAGUGGAAUUUCGGGUGUAGCGGUGAAAUGCGUAGAUAUCCGAAGGAACAUCAGUGGCGAAAGCGGCUUCCUGGUCCAGCACCGACGUUCAGGCACGAAAGCGUGGGGAGCAAACAGG
Molecule: ribosomal RNA, 253 nt
Filed under: uncultured bacterium
Lineage: Bacteria
Description: partial 16S ribosomal RNA
Rfam family: Bacterial small subunit ribosomal RNA
Source: RNAcentral